This 484-nucleotide ribosomal RNA is filed under the name uncultured bacterium. RNAcentral's name for it is "partial 16S ribosomal RNA". It matches the Rfam family "Bacterial small subunit ribosomal RNA", at positions 30 to 507 of the family's 1533-position model. The record is from RNAcentral.
AUUGAACGCUGGCGGCAGGCCUAACACAUGCAAGUCGAGCGGAUGAAGGGAGCUUGCUCCUGGAUUCAGCGGCGGACGGGUGAGUAAUGCCUAGGAAUCUGCCUGGUAGUGGGGGAUAACGUCCGGAAACGGGCGCUAAUACCGCAUACGUCCUGAUGGAGAAAGUGGGGGAUCUUCGGACCUCACGCUAUCAGAUGAGCCUAGGUCGGAUUAGCUAGUUGGUGGGGUAAAGGCCUACCAAGGCGACGAUCCGUAACUGGUCUGAGAGGAUGAUCAGUCACACUGGAACUGAGAAACGGUCCAGACUCCUACGGGAGGCAGCAGUGGGGAAUAUUGGACAAGGGGCGAAAGCCUGAUCCAGCCAUGCCGCGUGUGUGAAGAAGGUCUUCGGAUUGUAAAGCACUUUAAGUUGGGAGGAAGGGCAGUAAGUUAAUACCUGGCUGUUUUGACGUUACCAACAGAAUAAGCACCGGCUAACUUCGUG